This 924-nucleotide ribosomal RNA is filed under the name Leifsonia sp. DAB_ST76. RNAcentral describes it as "bacterial SSU rRNA". It matches the Rfam family "Bacterial small subunit ribosomal RNA", at positions 544 to 1461 of the family's 1533-position model. The record is from RNAcentral. Lineage: Bacteria; Bacillati; Actinomycetota; Actinomycetes; Micrococcales; Microbacteriaceae.
UCCGGAAUUAUUGGGCGUAAAGAGCUCGUAGGCGGUUUGUCGCGUCUGCUGUGAAAACUGGAGGCUCAACCUCCAGCCUGCAGUGGGUACGGGCAGACUAGAGUGCGGUAGGGGAGAUUGGAAUUCCUGGUGUAGCGGUGGAAUGCGCAGAUAUCAGGAGGAACACCGAUGGCGAAGGCAGAUCUCUGGGCCGUAACUGACGCUGAGGAGCGAAAGCAUGGGGAGCGAACAGGAUUAGAUACCCUGGUAGUCCAUGCCGUAAACGUUGGGAACUAGAUGUAGGGACCAUUUCCACGGUUUCUGUGUCGCAGCUAACGCAUUAAGUUCCCCGCCUGGGGAGUACGGCCGCAAGGCUAAAACUCAAAGGAAUUGACGGGGGCCCGCACAAGCGGCGGAGCAUGCGGAUUAAUUCGAUGCAACGCGAAGAACCUUACCAAGACUUGACAUAUACGAGAACGGGCUAGAAAUAGUUCACUCUUUGGACACUCGUAAACAGGUGGUGCAUGGUUGUCGUCAGCUCGUGUCGUGAGAUGUUGGGUUAAGUCCCGCAACGAGCGCAACCCUCGUUCUUUGUUGCCAGCACGUCAUGGUGGGAACUCAAAGGAGACUGCCGGGGUCAACUCGGAGGAAGGUGGGGAUGACGUCAAAUCAUCAUGCCCCUUAUGUCUUGGGCUUCACGCAUGCUACAAUGGCCGAUACAAAGGGCUGCGAUACCGCAAGGUGGAGCGAAUCCCAAAAAGUCGGUCUCAGUUCGGAUUGAGGUCUGCAACUCGACCUCAUGAAGUCGGAGUCGCUAGUAAUCGCAGAUCAGCAACGCUGCGGUGAAUACGUUCCCGGGCCUUGUACACACCCGCCCGUCAAGUCAUGAAAGUCGGUAACACCCGAAGCCAGUGGCCUAACCCGCAAGGGGAGGAGCUGUCGAAG